GUGUGUUGCAGUAUUAUAUUAAUUAUAGUUUAUAUAUAAAGGAUCAGAAUCUGAGAAGCCAAUGCCAUCCGGGCAUCAAGCUCUGCAGAGAGCAGAUUUAGCUGGAACAAGUCCCGGUGUUACAGCGUCCAGCUUUUUUGUGAAUGACAAGCUACCUCUAAGUAUAUAAUUGGACAUUGCCAAAGAACACCUACAUAGCACUUUUAAUGGAAUCCCUCACCAAUAUUGAAUCCCCCCCUAUCAACUCCCACACCCAGGACAAAACUGAUCACCACUUGUUCAGUGCUCGAUGUAGAAUGGGAAUGGACUGCUGUCCGGCAUUAUGUACUGCAUUAUUUCCUACUGUCUUAUUGUGGACCUGAUGAAGAGAGGAAUCCCCUCUUGAAACACAUUGUCCAGCCAAGCCAGCUAUCUGGGUAAACUAAUUUGCCUCUGUAUGAUAUAUACUCUGGUAAAUAAAAGUUUUUCACAGUAAACUGCCGGCGUCAACUUCUUCAACACCCCGGUGAAGCGCUGAUCCCACAAGUCGGAAUUUUGGGAUCACCCCUGCCAGGGUGUCCUGCAACAUGCCUCCAGCUACGUUCCUGACUGCUGCCAGCGGUACCGACAAUCGGCAGGUCCUGGACCGUACCGCAACCUAUCUAAAGCAAUACUCAGAGUUGUGCCUGCCAUUUGCACAACAUUAUAAGGUGAGCGGAAAUUCUGCUUUUUUACACACCUACCAUCUAAAACUUACUGUCAGUGCGCCGUAUUCUCUGUCUAGUUUCACCCUCAUAUUCCUACUGGGUUAUUUGUUAUAGUGAGGUUUAAUACUGCUAGAAGUUUUUUUCUAUUUUAACAUGAAAAUGUGACAUCCUUUUGCAUCUUUGAAUGAGCUUGCUGUUUCUCUUUCCAUUUGCCUUUGUUACCACUCCCUGCUUUUGGAACAUGUCUUACAUUUCACUGAUGUCAA
This is a long non-coding RNA of Hyla sarda, 952 nucleotides long. RefSeq lists it as uncharacterized. The record is from RefSeq and is a predicted model, not a curated record. NCBI's taxonomy places the organism in Eukaryota, Metazoa, Chordata, Amphibia, Anura, Hylidae. The transcript has 4 exons.